CAUAGCCAUGGUAACAGGCCGCACAGCAUUUUUUAAAUACAUGACGCUAAGCAUGAGAUGUUAAUUGCUUAAUUAAUUCAGGAGCCACACCUGUGUGGAAGCACCUGCUUUUGUUUCCCUCAUUUAGGUAGUUACGUGUCUGCCAGUUGAUCUAACGGUGGUCUCAAACUCAAUUCCACAGAGGGCCGAGUGUCUUCAGGUUCACUUCACCUUUGUAUGUGAUCGAUCAAUUAAGGUUAUUGAUUAGUUAGUAACUCCCCUCACCUGGUUGUCUAGGUCUUAAUAGAUUAGUGAGUAACUCCCCUCACCUGGUUGUCUAGGUCUUAAUAUAUUAGUGAGUAACUCCCCUCACCUGGUUGUCUAGGUCUUAAUAUAUUAGUUAGUAACUCCCCUCACCUGGUUGUCUAGGUCUUAAUAGAUUAGUGAGUAACUCCCCUCACCUGGUUGUCUAGGUCUUAAUAUAUUAGUUAGUAAAUCCCCUCACCUGGUUGUCUAGGUCUUAAUAUAUUAGUUAGUAACUCCCCUCACCUGGUUGUCUAGGUCUUAAUAGAUUAGUGAGUAACUCCCCUCACCUGGUUGUCUAGGUCUUAAUAGAUUAGUGAGUAACUCCCCUCACCUGGUUGUCUAGGUCUUAAUAGAUUAGUGAGUAACUCCCCUCACCUGGUUGUCUAGGUCUUAAUAUAUUAGUUAGUAACUCCCCUCACCUGGUUGUCUAGGUCUUAAUAGAUUAGUGAGUAACUCCCCUCACCUGGUUGUCUAGGUC
Long non-coding RNA from Oncorhynchus keta (chum salmon), 763 nucleotides. RefSeq lists it as uncharacterized. NCBI's taxonomy places the organism in Eukaryota, Metazoa, Chordata, Actinopteri, Salmoniformes, Salmonidae. The record is from RefSeq and is a predicted model, not a curated record. The transcript has 6 exons.